This is a long non-coding RNA of Hevea brasiliensis (rubber tree), 1018 nucleotides long. RefSeq lists it as uncharacterized. The record is from RefSeq and is a predicted model, not a curated record. NCBI's taxonomy places the organism in Eukaryota, Viridiplantae, Streptophyta, Magnoliopsida, Malpighiales, Euphorbiaceae. The transcript is spliced from 2 exons.
UUAUGUAUUUAAUUUAGUAAGUGAAUUUUAUUAUAUUUUAUGUCUUAGACUCACCAUAAACGGGUAUAAACUUCUGUUAUGCCAAAGCUAGCCGAGUGGCUAAAGGUGAGGACUUCGUUACUAGGCCUUGAAGUAUACAAGAAAUUGAAGGAAGGCAUGCGAGUACUGGGAUGUUUGGAUCAAUUUCUGGCCCUAGAGAAAAAAAUACAGAGUAAUGUUGCCUUAGCAAGGUGCAUUCACGGGAAUCUCACCCAUCAUCAUUAAUUACAAUGCAAAAAGGUGUGGAAUAACAAAUUGUUUCUCUCUCUAGCUUUCUAGAGAGAGAAAUUCCUCUCUGUCUUAUUGUUUUUGAGGCUCCUGGCCUUCAAGUUCUACGGCGUUUGCAGCUUUCUUCUACCCCAUCCGGACAAAGAAGGGUUUCCCUACAGGCCUGGGGCAUGGUUUCUCCCUCCCCACCUUCGGGUAGGAUGUAAAUAUUUGGUUUUGUGGCUUUUGAUUUGACGUGAUGAGUUGCAAAGGGAGAUGGUAACUCGAGGUUCUAUACCCGCGCUUGAUGAUGCAAGCCACUGACCCAACGGCUAAAUAAGAAUUAGAUGCCAGAGCUCUGCCAUAUCUCUCUUUCAGAGCCUUUGGAGAAAGAUCCGGGCUUCAACCUUCAAGAGAUUGGGGUGAUGUUUUUGACAUUGGGGUUUCUGCUUUUUUGGUUGUUCUUAGCCUCGUAUGCUUCCAGUGGUAGAGUCCUUAUUGGUUUCCUUGCUCCUGGUAGUUGUUCCAUUCCCACUGGGGCUGGGUUUACCAGGCGAUAUAGGCAGCAGCUCUGUGAAGAGAUGAUAAAGGCGCUGCUCCUUUGACCUCAGCAGGUACCAAGCUCUAGGGUUCUGGUUCUGUGGCCUCUGGGCCUUCGCCAAUGGGCUUAUUAGCAGGAUUUGGGUGAAUUUUUCCUUAUACUAGGCUUUGUGCUGAAUUCUAUAAUCUCUUUUGGAAAAAAAAAAAAUCAAUAAUUACAAUGCCUUCCAAA